GGAUUAGAUACCCUGGUAGUCCACGCCCUAAACGAUGACAACUAGCCGUUGGGGGUAUUAGAAACCUUUAGUGGCGCAGCUAACGCGAUAAGUUGUCCGCCUGGGGAGUACGGCCGCAAGGUUAAAACUCAAAGGAAUUGACGGGGGCCCGCACAAGCGGUGGAGCAUGUGGUUUAAUUCGAUGCAACGCGAAGAACCUUACCUGCCUUUGACAUUGAUAGAACCCUCCAGAGAUGGAGGGGUGCCUUCGGGCCUUGAAAACAGGUGCUGCAUGGCUGUCGUCAGCUCGUGCCG
This 294-nucleotide ribosomal RNA is filed under the name uncultured bacterium. RNAcentral's name for it is "partial 16S ribosomal RNA". It matches the Rfam family "Bacterial small subunit ribosomal RNA", at positions 775 to 1067 of the family's 1533-position model. The record is from RNAcentral.